This 71-nucleotide transfer RNA is filed under the name Marmota monax (woodchuck). RNAcentral describes it as "tRNA.Ala". It matches the Rfam family "tRNA". Rfam says of the family: Transfer RNA (tRNA) molecules are approximately 80 nucleotides in length. Their secondary structure includes four short double-helical elements and three loops (D, anti-codon, and T loops). Lineage: Eukaryota; Metazoa; Chordata; Mammalia; Rodentia; Sciuridae. The record is from RNAcentral.
GAGGUUGUAGCUCAGUGGCAGAGCACUUGCCUUGCAUGUGUGAGGCCCUGGGUUCAAUCCUCAGCACCACA